This 264-nucleotide long non-coding RNA is filed under the name Vitis vinifera (wine grape). Its description in RNAcentral is "long non-coding RNA (VVIN_LNC004850)". Lineage: Eukaryota; Viridiplantae; Streptophyta; Magnoliopsida; Vitales; Vitaceae. The record is from RNAcentral.
UUUUCCGACGGAGACUACGUGGCGGCUCUUGCCCUCAUCGGCGUCGAACCCCACGAAGCACCCGUCGGGGGUAACCGGUGAGGGAGUUGCCACCACAUUAGGAGGCACGUCGGAGAGAACCCGGUGGCCAUUAGCCACAAAGUCCGACCCUUGCAACGCGAUCAACGGCUGCUUAUACCCACCGCCGAGCUCGGCAAUGCCGGAGUUACCCUUACUCAAGCUGGGAGCCAUGGAUGAAUUGCACUAUACAGUUUGUUAGAACGG